This is an unclassified non-coding RNA of Callithrix jacchus (white-tufted-ear marmoset), 149 nucleotides long. It matches the Rfam family "Metazoan signal recognition particle RNA". Rfam says of the family: The signal recognition particle (SRP) is a universally conserved ribonucleoprotein. The record is from Ensembl. Lineage: Eukaryota; Metazoa; Chordata; Mammalia; Primates; Cebidae.
GCUGGGCAUGGUGACGCGUGCCUGUAAUCCCAGCUACUCGGGAGGCUGAGGCAGGAGAAUUGCUUGAACCCAGGAGGCGGAGGUUGCAGUGAGCCGAGAUCGCGCCAUUGCACUCCAGCCUGGGUAACAAGAGCGAAACUCUGUCUCAA